This 301-nucleotide ribosomal RNA is filed under the name uncultured bacterium. Its description in RNAcentral is "partial 16S ribosomal RNA". It matches the Rfam family "Bacterial small subunit ribosomal RNA", at positions 509 to 809 of the family's 1533-position model. The record is from RNAcentral.
CAGCCGCCGCGGGAAUACGAAUGGUGCAAGCGUUAAUCGGAAUUACUGGGCGUAAAGCGUGCGUAGGCGGUGAGUUAAGUCUGCUGUGAAAUCCCCGGGCUCAACCUGGGAAUGGCAGUGGAUACUGGCUCGCUAGAGUGUGUCAGAGGAUGGUGGAAUUCCAGGUGUAGCGGUGAAAUGCGUAGAGAUCUGGAGGAAUACCGGUGGCGAAGGCAGCCCCCUGGGCCAACACUGACGCUCAUGCACGAAAGCGUGGGGAGCAAACAGGAUUAGAUACCCGCGUAGUCCCUGUCUCUUAUAA